GAUGAACGCUGGCGGCGUGCCUAAUACAUGCAAGUCGAGCGAACGGACGAGAAGCUUGCUUCUCUGAUGUUAGCGGCGGACGGGUGAGUAACACGUGGAUAACCUACCUAUAAGACUGGGAUAACUUCGGGAAACCGGAGCUAAUACCGGAUAAUAUUUUGAACCGCAUGGUUCAAAAGUGAAAGACGGUCUUGCUGUCACUUAUAGAUGGAUCCGCGCUGCAUUAGCUAGUUGGUAAGGUAACGGCUUACCAAGGCAACGAUGCAUAGCCGACCUGAGAGGGUGAUCGGCCACACUGGAACUGAGACACGGUAAAGACUCCUACGGGAGGCAGCAGUAGGGAAUCUUCCGCAAUGGGCGAAAGCCUGACGGAGCAAAGCCGCGUGAGUGAUGAAGGUCUUCGGAUAGUAAAACUCUGUUAUUAGGGAAGAACAUAUGUGUAAGUAAAUGUGCACAUCUUGACGGUACCUAAUCAGAAAGAAACGGCUAACUAAGUG
This 497-nucleotide ribosomal RNA is filed under the name uncultured bacterium. Its description in RNAcentral is "partial 16S ribosomal RNA". It matches the Rfam family "Bacterial small subunit ribosomal RNA", at positions 28 to 507 of the family's 1533-position model. The record is from RNAcentral.